GAAAAAAUAGUAUACAGAUACAAUUGCCUUGAAAGCUUUUAAUAAGAAUAAAAUCUCUUUUUUUUCG
RNAcentral lists this transfer RNA (67 nucleotides) under Aphrocallistes vastus (cloud sponge). RNAcentral describes it as "tRNA-Ser". It matches the Rfam family "tRNA". From Rfam's summary of the family: Transfer RNA (tRNA) molecules are approximately 80 nucleotides in length. Their secondary structure includes four short double-helical elements and three loops (D, anti-codon, and T loops). The record is from RNAcentral. Lineage: Eukaryota; Metazoa; Porifera; Hexactinellida; Sceptrulophora; Aphrocallistidae.